RNAcentral lists this ribosomal RNA (253 nucleotides) under uncultured bacterium. Its description in RNAcentral is "partial 16S ribosomal RNA". It matches the Rfam family "Bacterial small subunit ribosomal RNA", at positions 524 to 776 of the family's 1533-position model. The record is from RNAcentral.
GACGAACCGUGCGAACGUUGUUCGGAAUCACUGGGCUUAAAGGGCGCGUAGGCGGGCGACAUAGUCGGGGGUGAAAUCUUUCGGCUCAACCGGAAAAUAGCCUUCGAUACUGGUCGUCUGGAGGGGGGUAGGGGCGUGUGGAACUUCCGGUGGAGCGGUGAAAUGCGUUGAUAUCGGAAGGAACUCCGGUGGCGAAAGCGACACGCUGGACCUCACCUGACGCUGAGGCGCGAAAGCCAGGGGAGCGAACGGG